AAGCGUUAUCCGGAAUUACUGGGUGUAAAGGGAGCGUAGGCGGUAUGGUAAGCCAGAUGUGAAAGCCCGAAGCUUAACUUCGAGGAUUGCAUUUGGAACUAUCAAACUAGAGUACGAGGAGAGGUAAGUGGAAUUCCUAGUGUAGCGGUGAAAUGCGUAGAUAUUAGGAAGAACACCAGUGGCGAAGGCCGACUUACUGGACUGAAACUGACGCUGAGGCUCGAAAGCGUGGGGAGC
This 237-nucleotide ribosomal RNA is filed under the name uncultured bacterium. RNAcentral's name for it is "partial 16S ribosomal RNA". It matches the Rfam family "Bacterial small subunit ribosomal RNA", at positions 536 to 769 of the family's 1533-position model. The record is from RNAcentral.